RNAcentral lists this ribosomal RNA (440 nucleotides) under uncultured bacterium. RNAcentral describes it as "partial 16S ribosomal RNA". It matches the Rfam family "Bacterial small subunit ribosomal RNA", at positions 338 to 795 of the family's 1533-position model. The record is from RNAcentral.
CCUACGGGAGGCAGCAGUGGGGAAUAUUGCACAAUGGGGGAAACCCUGAUGCAGCGACGCCGCGUGAGUGAAGAAGUAAUUCGUUAUGUAAAGCUCUAUCAGCAGGGAAGAAAAUGACGGUACCUGUGUAAGAAGCCCCGGCUAACUACGUGCCAGCAGCCGCGGUAAUACGUAGGGGGCAAGCGUUAUACGGAUUUACUGGGUGUAAAGGGAGAGUAGACGGCUGUGCAAGUCUGGAGUGAAAGGCGUGGGCCCAACCCCCGGACUGCUCUGGAAACUGUACGGCGGGAGUGCAGGAGGGGUAAGUGGAAAUCCUAGUGUAGCGGUGAAAUGCGUAGAGAUUAGGAGGAAUACCAGUGGCGAAGGCGGCCUACUGGACUGUAACUGACGUUGAGGCUCGAAAGCGUGGGGAGCAAACAGGAUUAGAUACCCGGGUAGUC